This 536-nucleotide long non-coding RNA is filed under the name Coturnix japonica (Japanese quail). RNAcentral describes it as "lncRNA (ENSCJPG00005010081.1)". Lineage: Eukaryota; Metazoa; Chordata; Aves; Galliformes; Phasianidae. The record is from RNAcentral.
UGCUGAAAAGCCAUGUCUCCUUUUCCUGAUGAACCUCCAAACCUCCAGUGCUACAAGUCAGUGAUGAAAUAACCAUCCUCUGUGUAAAGCUUUUAGUGCUGAAUGUGAAAAAAUUCUCCGGGCUGCCAGCAGGUGGGAUUCAUGAUCAAACAGGAUAUAGCAACUUGCACCUGGAUUGCAAGUGAAGCAGUAAAAUGGCACUUUUGUGGGAAAGCAGCUGACUCAGUCAUGAGAAAAGAAUUUGUUGAAGAAAAGACAACAAGUGCACAUAACUGCUUGAAUUGCCUUGAGGACCAAUAUUCCGAUCUUGAACUGCAUCAGCCCUGUCCCUUGGCUUCGGCUGAUGGAAGACGAGAUGCAUCUCUGUGUUCAUCUACUGCUUUGCAGCUGCCAGGCCUCUUUGUGCUGGGUGCUUUGCAGCUCCCUUCCUGACUCAUGUCAGAGUUACUGUAUAAUAUAUAUCAUAUAUACGGAGUUACUGUAUCAUAACAGAGUUAGCUGUUACUAAGUAUGUAGUGAUAUUUAUCUAAUAUCUG